Long non-coding RNA from Sander lucioperca (pikeperch), 143 nucleotides. RefSeq lists it as uncharacterized. NCBI's taxonomy places the organism in Eukaryota, Metazoa, Chordata, Actinopteri, Perciformes, Percidae. The record is from RefSeq and is a predicted model, not a curated record. The transcript is spliced from 3 exons.
AUUUAGUUUUAUUUUAUUUUUAAUAUCCAAUGCUGUCCAAAUUGCUCCAAAAUCCAAACCCCAAGUUUAUUGAGUACCCAGGAAACCAAGUGUGAAGUAGAUUGGAUGAACGACACACACACACACACACACACACACACACA